CCAACCUAUCUACAGCGGGGGACAACCUGGGGAAACCCGGACUAAUACCGCAUGAUGUCCAUACCUCGCAUGGAGCUUGGACCAAAGAGGGCCUCUACUUGUAAGCUCUCACCUGUUGAGGGGGUCGCGGCGUAUCAGCUUGUUGGUGAGGUAAUGGCUCACCAAGGCUACGACGCGUAGCGGGUCUGAGAGGACGAUCCGUCACAUUGGGACUGAGAUACGGCCCAG
RNAcentral lists this ribosomal RNA (228 nucleotides) under uncultured bacterium. Its description in RNAcentral is "partial 16S ribosomal RNA". It matches the Rfam family "Bacterial small subunit ribosomal RNA", at positions 121 to 334 of the family's 1533-position model. The record is from RNAcentral.